RNAcentral lists this long non-coding RNA (482 nucleotides) under Scleropages formosus (Asian bonytongue). RNAcentral's name for it is "lncRNA (ENSSFOG00015026033.1)". Lineage: Eukaryota; Metazoa; Chordata; Actinopteri; Osteoglossiformes; Osteoglossidae. The record is from RNAcentral.
UGGACAGCAUCAUUCAGAAAUACAGAGACAGGCCCGGUAAAGGCACAAAGGCUGAAGAGACUUUGCAGACCUUCAUGAAACAGAAGAAAGAAAUGGAGUCAUGUAUUCUUGUGGCAGACAAAAAUUUGACGAAACAGGAAAAGAAACUAGCAGAGGAGAAAGCGCGUGCUGAGCUGGAGAAGUUUAAAGCAGAGGCAGCCAAGAAAAAACAAGAAAUCCUUGACCAAAGACUCUUAGACGUACAAAAGGCACACAAGGAAAAUAUACAGCAAUUAGAGGAAAAAAUGGAGAAGGAACGCAAGGCAAUGAUUGAAGAAAAUGAAAGGAUUCUUGAAAGGAGACUUGUGGAACAGAAAGCUUUACUCGAGGAGGGGUUUGAAAAGGAGGCCAAUUUGUUGAAUGCUGCUAUUGAGGAUUUAAAGAAUAAGGUCACAUUUCUGAAGUAUUUUUUCAUAAAACAUACUCCUCCAAAGCAAGACACC